RNAcentral lists this ribosomal RNA (2368 nucleotides) under human gut metagenome. RNAcentral describes it as "bacterial LSU rRNA". It matches the Rfam family "Bacterial large subunit ribosomal RNA", at positions 466 to 2925 of the family's 2925-position model. The record is from RNAcentral.
CUAAAUACUACCCAGUGACCGAUAGCGUAUAGUACUGUGAAGGAAAGGUGAAAAGCACCCCGGGAGGGGAGUGAAAAAGAACCUGAAACCCUGUGCCUACAAGCACCUAGAGCACGUCAAUGUGUGAUAGGGUACUUUUUGUAGAACGGUCCGGCGAGCGAUUGUAUGCAGCAAGGUUAAGGACUUAAGGUCUGGAGCCGAAGCGAAAGCGAGUUUGAAAAGGGCGUUAAGUUGCAUAUAAUGGGCCCGAAACCGGGUGACCUACCCAUGGUCAGGUUGAAGUGGAAGUAAAAUUCCAUGGAGGACCGAACCGACCUCCGUUGAAAAGGCGGCGGAUGAACUGUGGGUAGCGGAGAAAUUCCAAUCGAACCCGGAGAUAGCUGGUUCUCCCCGAAAUAGUUUUAGGACUAGCCUCAAGUUAGAUACCUGGAGGUAAAGCACUGAAUAGCCUAGCGGCCGAGAGGUUAGCGAAGCUUAUCAAACUCAGAAUGCCAGAGUAUUGAUGCUUGGGAGUCAGACAGUGUCAGAUAAAUGUCAUUGUCAAAAGGGAAACAGCCCAGAUCUACAGCUAAGGUCCCAAAGUCAGGUUAAGUGGAAAACGAUGUGAAGAUACGCAGACAACCAGGAUGUUGGCUCAGAAGCAGCCACUCAUUCAAAGAGUGCGUAAUAGCUCACUGGUCGAGCGUCUUUGCGCGGAGAAUUUAACGGGGCUAAACCUGACACCGAAGCUUAGGCAAUACAGCAAUGUAUUGGGUAGGGGAGCGUUGUAUACGCGGAGAAACAGUAGCGCAAGCGGCUGUGGAGUGUAUAGAAGUGAGAAUGCCGGAAUGAGUAGCGCGAAUGCAGUGAGAAUCUGCAUGGCCGAAAGCCUCAGGUUUCUGGAGGAAGGUUCGUCCGCUCCAGGUUAGUCGGGAGCUAAGGUGAGGCCUAACGGCGUAGCCGAUGCACAGACGGUAGAGAUUCCGUCACCACCAAAAGAGUUAAACACAGGGACACAUUUGAAGUCUCGGAGCCGGGUGUUGGUUCCGGUAGCGAUCGAGGGAAAUUAGUACCGAAGUCCGGGAUGGAAGAUGGCGAGAAAAGCUGUGUGUAUUUCUGCGGUGCCCGUACCGCAAACCGACACAGGUAGGUAGGAAGAAGAUUCUAAGGCCAACGGGAGAAGGGUUGUUAAGGAACUCGGCAAAUUGACCCCGUAACUUCGGGAGAAGGGGUGCUCCAGAGAUGGAGCCGCAGAGAAUCGGCCCAAGCAACUGUUUACCAAAAACACAGGUUUGUGCUAAAUCGAAAGAUGACGUAUACGAGCUGACGCCUGCCCGGUGCUGGAAGGUUAAAAGGAGAUGUGCAAGCAUUGAAUUGAAGCCCCAGUGAACGGCGGCCGUAACUAUAACGGUCCUAAGGUAGCGAAAUUCCUUGUCAGGUAAGUUCUGACCCGCAUGAAAGGCGUAAUGAUCUGGGCACUGUCUCAACAGCCCGCCCGGCGAAAUUGUAGUACCGGUGAAGAUGCCGGUUACCCGCGACAAGACGGAAAGACCCCAUGGAGCUUUACUGUAGCCUAAUAUUGGGUUUCGAUGUUGCAUGCACAGGAUAGAUGGGACACUGGGAAACAAGUGCUUUGGCAUUUGUGGAGUGGCCGUUGGGAUACCAUCCUUGCGAUAUUGGAAUUCUAACCUGCGCCUUUGAAUCAAGGCGGGGGACAUUGUUAGGUGGGCAGUUUGACUGGGGCGGUCGCCUCCUAAAGAGUAACGGAGGCGUUCAAAGGUUCCCUCAGAAUGGUUGGAAAUCAUUCAAAGAGCAUAAAGGUAUAAAGGGAGCUUGACUGCAAGACCUACAAGUCAAGCAGGUGCGAAAGCAGGACUUAGUGAUCAGGCGAUUCAGAAUGGAAUGGUCGUCGCUUAACGGAUAAAAGUUACCCCGGGGAUAACAGGCUGAUACCACCCAAUAGUUCACAUAGACGGUGGUGUUUGGCACCUCGAUGUCGGCUCGUCAUAUCCUGGAGGUGGAGUCGCUUCCAAGGGUUGGGCUGUUCGCCCAUUAAAAUGGCACGCGAGCUGGGUUCAGAACGUCGUGAGACAGUUCGGUCCCUAUCCGUCGUGGGCGCAGGAAAAUUGAGGAGAGCUAUCCUUAGUACGAGAGGACCGGGAUGGACCUACCUCUGGUGUAUCUGUUGUCACGCCAGUGGCAGUGCAGAGUAGCUAUGUAGGGAAGGGAUAAACGCUGAAAGCAUCUAAGCGUGAAGCCCUCUCCAAGAUGAGUUUUCCCAUUGUAUAACAAGUAAAAUCCCAGAAAGACUAACUGGUAGAUAGGCUAGAAGUGGAAGUGUAGUGAUACAUUGAGCGGACUAGUACUAAUAGAUUGAGGAUUUAAUCCC